RNAcentral lists this ribosomal RNA (459 nucleotides) under uncultured bacterium. RNAcentral's name for it is "partial 16S ribosomal RNA". It matches the Rfam family "Bacterial small subunit ribosomal RNA", at positions 338 to 795 of the family's 1533-position model. The record is from RNAcentral.
CCUACGGGUGGCAGCAGUGAGGAAUAUUGGUCAAUGGCCGAAAGGCUGAACCAGCCAAGUCGCGUGAGGGAAGAAGGCCCUACGGUUUGUAAACCUCUUUUGUCGGGGAAUAAAGGUAUCCACGUGUGGAUCUUUGCAUGUACUCUAUGAAUAAGCCUCGGCUAACUACGUGCCAGCAGCCGCGGUAAUACGGAGGAUGCAAGCGUUAUCCGGAUUUAUUGGGUUUAAAGGGUGUGUAGGCGGUGGUGCAAGUCAGCGGUAAAAUUGCGGGGCUCAACCCCGUCCGGCCGUUGAAACUGGAUCUCUAGAGUGCGCGAGAAGUAUGCGGAAUGCGUGGUGUAGCGGUGAAAUGCAUAGAUAUCACGAAGAACUCCGAUUGCGAAGGCAGCAUACCGGCUCGAAACUGACGCUGAGGCACGAAAGCGUGGGUAUCGAACAGGAUUAGAUACCCGGGUAGUC